RNAcentral lists this ribosomal RNA (254 nucleotides) under uncultured bacterium. RNAcentral describes it as "partial 16S ribosomal RNA". It matches the Rfam family "Bacterial small subunit ribosomal RNA", at positions 524 to 776 of the family's 1533-position model. The record is from RNAcentral.
UACGUAGGUGACCAGCGUUGUCCGGAUUUACUGGGCGUAAAGAGCGCGCAGGCGGUCGUUCAAGUCGAGUGUGAAAGCCCCCGGCUCAACUGGGGAGGGUCACUCGAUACUGAUCGACUGGAAGGCAGGAGAGGGAAGCGGAAUUCCCCGGUGUAGUGGUGAAAUGCGUAGAUAUCGGGAGGAACACCAGUGGCGAAGGCGGCUUCCUGGCCUGUUCUUGACGCUGAGGCGCGAAAGCUAGGGGAGCAAACGGG